GAGUGGCGGACGGGUGAGUAACACGUGGGUAACCUGCCCUAAAGUGGGGGAUAACAUUUGGAAACAGAUGCUAAUACCGCAUAAAACCUAACACCGCAUGGUGUAGGGUUGAAAGAUGGUUUCGGCUAUCACUUUAGGAUGGACCCGCGGUGCAUUAGUUAGUUGGUGAGGUAAAGGCUCACCAAGACCGUGAUGCAUAGCCGACCUGAGAGGGUAAUCGGCCACACUGGGACUGAGACACGGCCCAGACUCCUACGGGAGGCAGCAGUAGGGAAUCUUCCACAAUGGACGAAAGUCUGAUGGAGCAACGCCGCGUGAGUGAAGAAGGUUUUCGGAUCGUAAAACUCUGUUGUUGGAGAAGAAUGUAUCUGAUAGUAACUGAUCAGGUAGUGACGGUAUCCAACCAGAAAGCCACGGCUAACUACGUGCCAGCAGCCGCGGUAAUACGUAGGUGGCAAGCGUUGUCCGGAUUUAUUGGGCGUAAAGCGAGCGCAGGCGGUUUCUUAAGUCUGAUGUGAAAGCCUUCGGCUCAACCGAAGAAGUGCAUCGGAAACUGGGAAACUUGAGUGCAGAAGAGGACAGUGGAACUCCAUGUGUAGCGGUGAAAUGCGUAGAUAUAUGGAAGAACACCAGUGGCGAAGGCGGCUGUCUGGUCUGUAACUGACGCUGAGGCUCGAAAGCAUGGGUAGCAAACAGGAUUAGAUACCCUGGUAGUCCAUGCCGUAAACGAUGAGUGCUAGGUGUUGGAGGGUUUCCGCCCUUCAGUGCCGCAGCUAACGCAUUAAGCACUCCGCCUGGGGAGUACGACCGCAAGGUUGAAACUCAAAGGAAUUGACGGGGCCCCGCACAAGCGGUGGAGCAUGUGGUUUAAUUCGAAGCAACGCGAAGAACCUUACCAGGUCUUGACAUCCUUUGACCACUCUAGAGAUAGAGCUUUCCCUUCGGGGACAAAGUGACAGGUGGUGCAUGGUUGUCGUCAGCUCGUGUCGUGAGAUGUUGGGUUAAGUCCCGCAACGAGCGCAACCCUUAUUACUAGUUGCCAGCAUUUAGUUGGGCACUCUAGUGAGACUGCCGGUGACAAACCGGAGGAAGGUGGGGACGACGUCAAAUCAUCAUGCCCCUUAUGACCUGGGCUACACACGUGCUACAAUGGAUGGUACAACGAGUUGCGAGACCGCGAGGUUUAGCUAAUCUCUUAAAACCAUUCUCAGUUCGGAUUGUAGGCUGCAACUCGCCUACAUGAAGCCGGAAUCGCUAGUAAUCGCGGAUCAGCAUGCCGCGGUGAAUACGUUCCCGGGCCUUGUACACACCGCCCGUCACACCAUGAGAGUUUGUAACACCCAAAGCCGGUGAGGUAACCCUUCGGGGAGCCAGCCGUCUAA
Molecule: ribosomal RNA, 1382 nt
Filed under: Latilactobacillus sakei
Lineage: Bacteria; Bacillati; Bacillota; Bacilli; Lactobacillales; Lactobacillaceae
Description: Lactobacillus sakei 16S ribosomal RNA
Rfam family: Bacterial small subunit ribosomal RNA
Source: RNAcentral